ACUUCAGGACGGGGACAACAGUUGGAAACGACUGCUAAUACCCGAUGUGCCGCAAGGUGAAACCUAAUUGGCCUGAAGAAGAGCUUGCGUCUGAUUAGCUAGUUGGUAGGGUAAAAGCCUACCAAGGCGACGAUCAGUAGCUGGUCUGAGAGGAUGAGCAGCCACACUGGGACUGAGACACGGCCCAGACUCCUACGGGAGGCAGCAGUGGGGAAUUUUCCGCAAUGGGCGAAAGCCUGACGGAGCAACGCCGCGUGAGGGAGGAAGGUCUUUGGAUUGUAAACCUCUUUUCUCAAGGAAGAAGUUCUGACGGUACUUGAGGAAUCAGCCUCGGCUAACUCCGUGCCAGCAGCCGCGGUAAUACGGGGGAGGCAAGCGUUAUCCGGAAUUAUUGGGCGUAAAGCGUCCGCAGGUGGUCAGCCAAGUCUGCCGUCAAAUCAGGUUGCUUAACGACCUA
This 457-nucleotide ribosomal RNA is filed under the name Microcystis aeruginosa. RNAcentral's name for it is "bacterial SSU rRNA". It matches the Rfam family "Bacterial small subunit ribosomal RNA", at positions 129 to 619 of the family's 1533-position model. RNAcentral also lists the same sequence under 2 other names. Lineage: Bacteria; Bacillati; Cyanobacteriota; Cyanophyceae; Chroococcales; Microcystaceae. The record is from RNAcentral.